This 107-nucleotide small nuclear RNA is filed under the name Jaculus jaculus (lesser Egyptian jerboa). The record is from RNAcentral. Lineage: Eukaryota; Metazoa; Chordata; Mammalia; Rodentia; Dipodidae.
AUGUUCGGUUCAGUAGCACAUAUACUAAAAUUGGAACAAUAAAGAGAAGAUUAUCAUGGUCCCUGCACAAGGAUAACACCCAAAUUCGUGAAGCAUUCCAUAUUUUU